Molecule: ribosomal RNA, 459 nt
Filed under: uncultured bacterium
Lineage: Bacteria
Description: partial 16S ribosomal RNA
Rfam family: Bacterial small subunit ribosomal RNA
Source: RNAcentral
CCUACGGGAGGCAGCAGUGAGGAAUAUUGGUCAAUGGGCGCGAGCCUGAACCAGCCAAGUCGCGUGAGGGAAGACGGUCCUCUGGAUUGUAAACCUCUUUUGUCGGGGAGCAAAAGCCGCCACGCGUGGCGUUCCGAGAGUACCCGAAGAAAAAGAAUCGGCUAACUCCGUGCACGCAGCCGCGGUACGACGGAGGAUGCGAGCGUUAUCCGGAUUUAUUGGGGUUAAAGGGUGAGCAGGCGGUCUGUUAAGUCAGCGGUCAAAGCCCGGGUCUCAACCCCGGCCCGCCGUUGAAACUGGCAGUCUCGAGUUGGAGAGAAGUAUGCGGAAUGCGCGGUGUAGCGGGGAAAUGCAGAGAUAACGCGCAGAACUCAGAUUGCGAAGGCAGAAGGCCGGCUCCACACUGACGCUGAGGCACGAAAGCGUGGGUAUCGAACAGGAUUAGAUACCCGUGUAGUG